UUUAAAUUGAGAGUUUGAUCCUGGCUCAGGAUGAACGCUGGCGGCGUGCUUAACACAUGCAAGUCGAGCGAUGAAGUUUCCUUCGGGAAAUGGAUUAGCGGCGGACGGGUGAGUAACACGUGGGUAAC
RNAcentral lists this ribosomal RNA (128 nucleotides) under Clostridium perfringens. RNAcentral's name for it is "partial 16S ribosomal RNA". It matches the Rfam family "Bacterial small subunit ribosomal RNA", at positions 1 to 125 of the family's 1533-position model. The record is from RNAcentral. Lineage: Bacteria; Bacillati; Bacillota; Clostridia; Eubacteriales; Clostridiaceae.